AUUGGAUCAUGGAUGCGCUAAUGGACGACAUGGAUGACAAGGCAAGUGCCGUCCUACAUGCUCUGGGUGUCUUGAGGAGCUGGUCGUUGGAUGAUUUUUUUUUUUCAGGUCUUUUUUUCUGGUAAAGAUUAUCCUUACAGUGAAGUAAAAUAAUUUAACAGACAGAUUGACAAACAACUGACGAAAGAAGAGAGACCAUUCAAUAGAGGACUUCUAGAUGUAUCCAUAAUCCUGAAACAGACCGUAUCAUGAGCAGAUGCAGUGGUGGUCAUGGAGAAGUGGAGAGCAUGAGACUGAUUAACGAAAGAUCCCAGUGACAGAUGAGUGCCCGCAUUGAUCCUGUGGUCCAGCCUGAAAACCCGCUGGUAACCUACUCACACCUGCAGCUUCUCCACAAUGGACGCCCAGUGUUCUUCAGCCUCCAGCGCCUAGACUGCGGCUCUGCACGUGAAGUGUGGCCAAAAGAGAAAUGGUUGUGCCCAACUAAGCCUAGUUUCUCUCAAGGUUUAUUCCUUUACUUUCAUCAAUUGGUAAAGUUUUGUUCCUCCACUGUCGCCAUUGGCUUGCUUGGUUUAGGACUUGUGGAACUGUGCAUCGAUGGAUUUGCUUUUCAGUGUUUGGACUUUCAGCAGUGAAAACUAAACCACACUGAAUUUAAUAAAUGUUAAGCUACUUUGACACAAUCUACAUUGUAAAAGUACUUUAAAAAAUAAAGAUGAAAUUAAUUGAAAUUGUAUUGAAUAUUCAACA
Molecule: non-coding RNA, 750 nt
Organism: Danio rerio (zebrafish)
Lineage: Eukaryota; Metazoa; Chordata; Actinopteri; Cypriniformes; Danionidae
Source: Ensembl